This is a long non-coding RNA of Cervus elaphus (red deer), 968 nucleotides long. RefSeq lists it as uncharacterized. NCBI's taxonomy places the organism in Eukaryota, Metazoa, Chordata, Mammalia, Artiodactyla, Cervidae. The record is from RefSeq and is a predicted model, not a curated record. The transcript is spliced from 3 exons.
AGCAGACAUUCAGUCACUUGGCAGGAAUACAGCUCCGCACAGCUGGCCUGGCUUCUUGCCCCCUCAUGUCUGAAGUCUGUCUUUGGAGAGGGGUUUCUCAGCAAGAAGGGCUCCUCUUUUUAAAUACAAAUAGCCCUGGGAGGCCGUCUAUCACGCUCAUCUUGGCUUGAAUCCCUCGCUCACAGGCGGAGAUGAAGGUCCUCAGACAGGACUGUGGUGGAGGGAGGCAAGGAAGGGGAUGAGGGAUGUUCGCCACUUGGAGCAUCACCCAAGCAGAGAACCGGGCCGGGGGCACCGCAUGAGGGCACGAGACAUGGCCACAUGAGGGAAACACUGCCUUUCUUACAUCCGGGUUUCAACAGAAGCAGGUGCCACAGACAUGAUCAGGAGGGGAUUCUCUAGCCCUGGUCAAGGGUCUUCCACCCAAAGCUCCUCCCCAUGAUGAUCUCCUUUGGACACCACCAAAUCAGCCUGCCCCACCCAGGUCUCCCAGGAAGAGAUCUCAUGGCUGGUGCCCUGAAAGACUGUGAGUCAGACGAGCCCAGGGACAAGCAGAGAAGGCAGAGGGAGGCUGAUGUUUGUGAUGAGAAUACGCCCCCUGUUUCCCGUGGUCAAACCCAUCCCAGCCACGCCACAGCACCCAAGAAACCCACACUCUGCUCCGCGUGGCGUGUGCUCAGCAUCCGUGGGAUCACAAUGGAUUUCUAGACCUGCUCCUAUCAGCUCUGUGACUCUAGGCAACUGUCCUGGUCUCCCUGAGCAUCACUUUUCUCCCCUCUGAGAUGAGGAUAAUAAUUCCACAUCUCAGGGUUCAUGUGAAGAUGGAAGUCAUGAAAGCACAUCGUAAACAGAAAGUGAGUCCAGCUCGACCGACCUUUGGUGUUAGUCCCAGAGAGGGAUGUGGCCCCUUAGAAGGUAAAGGUCUCUUUGACCAGUUUCGUUUGGGCAGCAGGACAUCCUUGGUGGUG